CAGCAGCCGCGGUAAUACGUAGGGCGCAAGCGUUGUCCGGAAUUAUUGGGCGUAAAGAGCUCGUAGGCGGUCUGUCGCGUCUGGUGUGAAAUCCCGAGGCUCAACCUCGGGCUUGCAUCGGGUACGGGCAGACUAGAGUGCGGUAGGGGAGACUGGAAUUCCUGGUGUAGCGGUGGAAUGCGCAGAUAUCAGGAGGAACACCGAUGGCGAAGGCAGGUCUCUGGGCCGCAACUGACGCUGAGGAGCGAAAGCAUGGGGAGCGAACAGGAUUAGAGACCCCUGUAGUCCCUGUCUCUUAUAA
Molecule: ribosomal RNA, 301 nt
Filed under: uncultured bacterium
Lineage: Bacteria
Description: partial 16S ribosomal RNA
Rfam family: Bacterial small subunit ribosomal RNA
Source: RNAcentral